Molecule: unclassified non-coding RNA, 1147 nt
Filed under: Hevea brasiliensis (rubber tree)
Lineage: Eukaryota; Viridiplantae; Streptophyta; Magnoliopsida; Malpighiales; Euphorbiaceae
Source: RNAcentral
GCACCAUAAAGAUAAGAAGUGAUAAAAAGGGGCAGGUUUAAGUGAAACUCUAUGAAGACAACAAUCUUUAGAGAUACAACAUCAUCUAGCGAACUACUGUAAACUAAACUGAAAGACAGGAAACCACAAUUCAGUUAAAGAAGAUGAGACUCCGGAUAUAACAAAAUACCAAGUGGUUUUCACAUAAGUCGGCUAAAAGGAUUGCUUAACCCAACUUCCGCACCUGGAAUCUUACGUUCACUGUCUCUUCAAAGGACUUCUUAAGCAACUCUAAGUCAAUUGUCAGUUCUCGAGCCUUUUCCUAUGGCUGGUUGUGAUCCUUGACGACCAUCACAAGCAUCAUGGUACUCGCCUUCCUCCUCGUUUUCUUUUGAGGCAGAUGCCACAGGAACUCCGCCCUUACGAGCAGCAUUUCCACCAUCCUUCUCAUCAGGAUACCUCACAACCACAACAGGGCAAACACAAUGCCUAACACAGUAAUCACUAACACUUCCAAGCCUCCCAUCAUUUCCUCUCUUAGUAGCCCCGAAUCCUCGACUACCCAUGAUAACUGCACUCAAUCCUAGCCUCUCAACCUCAAGACAUAGCCUUUCCUUCAUAUCAUGAUCCUUCACAAUAUGAAUCUUGAAUGGAAUAUUAGCCUCCACAAGUGGCUGAGCUAAAUCAUUCGAUUUCGUAGUUGUGAAGUUAUCAAAAUCAUCUUCCAGUUUCCGCUGUGAUUCUUCAUUUGCAGUGUCAACAGAAACAUCAAUAGCACCCCAAUCAGCUCCAUAAAGUACCGAAGUUGGACGGACGUGAAGGAGUAUAACGGCGUCACCUGGUCGGAGAUAAUUUUGCACAGCCCAUUUGACGGCAUAAGCACUUUCGUCGCUAAGAUCGACGGCGAUAGCAACCUUCCGAUUAGCACCGGAAUUCGGAGUUCCUAAAUGGAAACGAGGAGAUGCCGGUUGGUGCAUGAUCGCCGUGAGUGGGCGGUCGGAUUCUGGUGGUGGCUUUUUGGGUGAUGUCAUGCUGGUGUAAAUAGAUAAAUACGGAAUUGGUAUUGAAGAAUUCAGAGAGAUAUUGUGUGUUUUGUGAUGUUCGAAUCCGAUUCGAUUGUGUAUUGUUUGAGUUCUUGGGACCUUUGGGGAAGAAGAGAGGUUACAAG